Molecule: ribosomal RNA, 157 nt
Filed under: Rhizophagus intraradices
Lineage: Eukaryota; Fungi; Glomeromycota; Glomeromycetes; Glomerales; Glomeraceae
Description: 5.8S ribosomal RNA
Rfam family: 5.8S ribosomal RNA
About the family: 5.8S ribosomal RNA (5.8S rRNA) is a component of the large subunit of the eukaryotic ribosome. It is transcribed by RNA polymerase I as part of the 45S precursor that also contains 18S and 28S rRNA. Functionally, it is thought that 5.8S rRNA may be involved in ribosome translocation.
Source: RNAcentral
UCACUUUCAACAACGGAUCUCUUGGCUCUCGCAUCGAUGAAGAACGUAGCGAAGUGCGAUAAGUAGUGUGAAUUGCAGAAUUCCGUGAAUCAUCGAAUUUUUGAACGCAAAUUGCGCUCCCUGGCAUCCCGGGGAGUAUGCCUGUUUGAGGGUCAGU